RNAcentral lists this non-coding RNA (195 nucleotides) under Metabacillus harenarius. The record is from RNAcentral. Lineage: Bacteria; Bacillati; Bacillota; Bacilli; Caryophanales; Bacillaceae.
AGAUAAUUAGACAAGCUAGGUGCCUUUAGCUGCUAGAAAGCUAAAGGGUAAAAGGGAAGUUCGGUAAAAGCCGACGCGGUACCCGCCACUGUAUAGGGGAACUUCAUUACUUAAAAUCACUGAUUAAUAAAUUGGGAAGAUGUAAUGUUCGUGAUGAUCCUUAGCCAGGAAACCUGCCUAGAUUGCUUAACACUU